GUGUCCCUGCAUUGUGCGUAAGUGGUUAGUCGUCAAGCCUAACAUCGACAGCAAGGGAGCCGAGUCCAAGAAGACUGUGUGCACGUUCCGCCCCAAGUGGAAAAGCCUGACGUCUUCAUCUUGGUGCCCACCUAAUCAAACAGGUUUGAGCUGAUCGCCCUUACGGCAAUGCGGGGGCCUU
Molecule: non-coding RNA, 181 nt
Filed under: Nitrospira sp.
Lineage: Bacteria; Pseudomonadati; Nitrospirota; Nitrospiria; Nitrospirales; Nitrospiraceae
Also listed under: 1 other name
Description: 6S RNA
Rfam family: 6S / SsrS RNA
About the family: E. coli 6S RNA was the first non coding RNA to be sequenced, but its function was unknown until recently. It consists of 184 nucleotides that fold into an extended hairpin structure with a large single-stranded internal bulge. The 6S RNA specifically associates with RNA polymerase holoenzyme containing the sigma70 specificity factor.
Source: RNAcentral